RNAcentral lists this ribosomal RNA (489 nucleotides) under uncultured bacterium. RNAcentral describes it as "partial 16S ribosomal RNA". It matches the Rfam family "Bacterial small subunit ribosomal RNA", at positions 29 to 504 of the family's 1533-position model. The record is from RNAcentral.
AGUGAACGCUGGCGGUAGGCCUAACACAUGCAAGUCGAACGGCAGCACAGUAAGAGCUUGCUCUUACGGGUGGCGAGUGGCGGACGGGUGAGGAAUACAUCGGAAUCUACUUUUUCGUGGGGGAUAACGUAGGGAAACUUACGCUAAUACCGCAUACGACCUACGGGUGAAAGCAGGGGAUCUUCGGACCUUGCGCGAUUGAAUGAGCCGAUGUCGGAUUAGCUAGUUGGCGGGGUAAAGGCCCACCAAGGCGACGAUCCGUAGCUGGUCUGAGAGGAUGAUCAGCCACACUGGAACUGAGACACGGUCCAGACUCCUACGGGAGGCAGCAGUGGGGAAUAUUGGACAAUGGGCGCAAGCCUGAUCCAGCUAUACCGCGUGGGUGAAGAAGGCCUUCGGGUUGUAAAGCCCUUUUGUUGGGAAAGAAAAGCAGCAGGUUAAUACCCCGCUGUUCUGACGGUACCCAAAGAAUAAGCACCGGCUAACUUC